GAUGAACGCUGGCGGCGUGCCUAAUACAUGCCAGUCGAGCGAACAGACGAGGAGCUUGCUCCUCUGACGUUAGCGGCGGACGGGUGAGUAACACGUGGAUAACCUACCUAUAAGACUGGGAUAACUUCGGGAAACCGGAGCUAAUACCGGAUAAUAUAUUGAACCGCAUGGUUCAAUAGUGAAAGACGGUUUUGCUGUCACUUAUAGAUGGAUCCGCGCCGCAUUAGCUAGUCGGUAAGGUAACGGCUUACCAAGGCAACGAUGCGUAGCCGACCUGAGAGGGUGAUCGGCCACACUGGAACUGAGACACGGUCCAGACUCCUACGGGAGGCAGCAGUAGGGAAUCUUCCGCAAUGGGCGAAAGCCUGACGGAGCAACGCCGCGUGAGUGAUGAAGGUCUUCGGAUCGUAAAACUCUGUUAUUAGGGAAGAACAAAUGUGUAAGUAACUAUGCACGUCUUGACGGUACCUAAUCAGAAAGCCACGGCUAACUACGUG
Molecule: ribosomal RNA, 497 nt
Filed under: uncultured bacterium
Lineage: Bacteria
Description: partial 16S ribosomal RNA
Rfam family: Bacterial small subunit ribosomal RNA
Source: RNAcentral